This 492-nucleotide ribosomal RNA is filed under the name uncultured bacterium. RNAcentral's name for it is "partial 16S ribosomal RNA". It matches the Rfam family "Bacterial small subunit ribosomal RNA", at positions 29 to 507 of the family's 1533-position model. The record is from RNAcentral.
AGUGAACGCUGGCGGUAGGCCUAACACAUGCAAGUCGAACGGCAGCACAGUAAGAGCUUGCUCUUACGGGUGGCGAGUGGCGGACGGGUGAGGAAUACAUCGGAAUCUACUUUUUCGUGGGGGAUAACGUAGGGAAACUUACGCUAAUACCGCAUACGACCUACGGGUGAAAGCAGGGGAUCUUCGGACCUUGCGCGAUUGAAUGAGCCGAUGUCGGAUUAGCUAGGUGGCGGGGUAAAGGCCCACCAAGGCGACGAUCCGUAGCUGGUCUGAGAGGAUGAUCAGCCACACUGGAACUGAGACACGGUCCAGACUCCUACGGGAGGCAGCAGUGGGGAAUAUUGGACAAUGGGCGCAAGCCUGAUCCAGCCAUACCGCGUGGGUGAAGAAGGCCUUCGGGUUGUAAAGCCCUUUUGUUGGGAAAGAAAAGCAGCAGGUUAAUCCCCCGCUGUCCUGGCGGUACCCAAAGAAUAAGCACCGGCUAACUUCGUG